RNAcentral lists this ribosomal RNA (1581 nucleotides) under Pandion haliaetus. RNAcentral's name for it is "16S ribosomal RNA". It matches the Rfam family "Bacterial large subunit ribosomal RNA". Lineage: Eukaryota; Metazoa; Chordata; Aves; Accipitriformes; Pandionidae. The record is from RNAcentral.
AGCCAACCUCUAGCCCAACCACACUAUACUAAAAACCAACUACUUCCACUAAACUAAAGCAUUCACUUAGCCCAGUAUAGGCGAUAGAAAAGCAUGAAAUGGAGCGAUAGAGACUUGUACCGUAAGGGAAGGAUGAAAUAACAGUGAAAACCACAGCAACACAUAGCAAAGAUUAACCCUUGUACCUCUCGCAUCAUGAUUUAGCAAGAACUCCCAAGCAAAACGAAUUUAAGCUUGCCCCCCCGAAACUCGAGCGAGCUACUUGCAAGCAGCUAUCUAAUGAGCGAACCCGUCUCUGUAGCAAAAGAGUGGGAUGACUUGCUAGUAGUGGUGAAAAGCCAACCGAGCCGAGUGAUAGCUGGUUGCCUGUGAAAUGAAUCUAAGUUCCCCCUUGAUUGCUUUUUCCUCCAGGCCCAAUAACCUUAAUGUAAUCAAUCAAGAGCAAUUUAAAGGAGGUACAGCUCCUUUAAAAAAGAAAACAACCUACCAUAGAGGAUAACCAAAGUUCUCCACAAACCUUGUAGGCCCUUAAGCAGCCACCAACAAAGAGUGCGUCAAAGCUCCACAUUAAAGAAAUUCGGAAACAAUACGAAUCCCUCCCCACUAACGGGCCAACCUAUGCCAAUAGAAGAAUCAAUGCUAAAAUGAGUAACUAGGGAUUCCCCUCUCAAGCGCAAGCUUACAUACACACAUUAUUAACAAUGCCUAACUAACACCCCACCAACAACAAGCACCACAUUAGAAUUGCACUGUUAACCCAACCCAGGAGCGCUUACUAGAAAGAUUAAAAUCUGUAAAAGGAACUAGGCAAACCAAAGACCCGACUGUUUACCAAAAACAUAGCCUUCAGCAAUCCAAGUAUUGAAGGUGAUGCCUGCCCAGUGACCACAGUUUAACGGCCGCGGUAUCCUAACCGUGCGAAGGUAGCGCAAUCAAUUGUCCCAUAAAUCGAGACUUGUAUGAACGGCUAAACGAGGCCUUAACUGUCUCUUACAGAUAAUCAGUGAAAUUGAUCUUCCCGUGCAAAAGCAGGAAUACACACAUAAGACGAGAAGACCCUGUGGAACUUAAAAAUCAGCGGCCACCACACACAACUGCACACCUACUAGGCCCACACCACCAAGCAACUGGCCUGCAUUUUUCGGUUGGGGCGACCUUGGAGAAAAACAAAACCUCCAAAAAUAAGACCACACCUCUUAACCUAGAGCAACCACCCAACGUACUAACAGUACCCAGACCCAACAAACAAAUGAUCAAUGGACCAAGCUACCCCAGGGAUAACAGCGCAAUCCCCCUCAAGAGCCCAUAUCGACAGGGGGGUUUACGACCUCGAUGUUGGAUCAGGACAUCCUAAUGGUGCAGCCGCUAUUAAGGGUUCGUUUGUUCAACGAUUAACAGUCCUACGUGAUCUGAGUUCAGACCGGAGCAAUCCAGGUCGGUUUCUAUCUAUGUAUUACUCUUCCUAGUACGAAAGGAGCGAAAGAGUGGGGCCAAUACCACAAGCAUGCCCCCUCCCCAAGUAUUGACCCCUUCUAAAAUACGAAUGGAACUAACACCCAACCAACACCCUAGAAAAGGGCA